GACGAACGCUGGCGGCGUGCUUAACACAUGCAAGUCGAACGGAGUGGCGAACGGGUGAGUAACACGUGGGUGAUCUGCCUUGCACUUCGGGAUAAGCUUGGGAAACUGGGUCUAAUACCGGAUAGUGCAAGAUGAGCUCGCGGCCUAUCAGAUUGUUGGGGGGGUAAUGGCCGACCAAGGCGUCGACGGGUAGCCGGCCUGAGAGGGUGUACGGCGUCAUUGGGACUGCGAGACGGCGCAGACGCGUACGGGACGCAGCAGUGGGGAGUAUGGCGCAAUGGGGGGAAGCGUGAUGAAGCGACGCUGCGUGGGGGAUGAAGGCCUUCGGGUUGUAAACUCCUUUCGACAGGGACGCGGUACUCGUAUAAGAAGCACCGGCUAACUACGUGCCAGCAGCCGCGGUAAUAC
RNAcentral lists this ribosomal RNA (408 nucleotides) under uncultured bacterium. RNAcentral describes it as "partial 16S ribosomal RNA". It matches the Rfam family "Bacterial small subunit ribosomal RNA", at positions 28 to 526 of the family's 1533-position model. The record is from RNAcentral.